This 109-nucleotide transfer RNA is filed under the name Acanthamoeba polyphaga mimivirus. RNAcentral describes it as "tRNA-Leu". The stretch from base 19 to 101 matches the Rfam family "tRNA". From Rfam's summary of the family: Transfer RNA (tRNA) molecules are approximately 80 nucleotides in length. The record is from RNAcentral. RNAcentral also lists the same sequence under 1 other name. Lineage: Varidnaviria; Bamfordvirae; Nucleocytoviricota; Megaviricetes; Imitervirales; Mimiviridae.
UUAAUAUUAAUUAAAUAAGCAAAGGUGGCGGAGUGGUCUAACGCGGUAGACUUAAGAUCUACUAUCUUUUGAUGUCGUGGGUUCGAAUCCCACCCUUUGCAUUCACACU